UCCAGACUCCUACGGGAGGCAGCAGUGAGGAAUAUUGGUCAAUGGGCGAGAGCCUGAACCAGCCAAGUCGCGUGAGGGAAGACGGUCCUAUGGAUUGUAAACCUCUUUUGUCGGGGAGCAAAAAGGCCUCGUGAGGCCACAAGUGAGAGUACCCGAAGAAAAAGCAUCGGCUAACUCCGUGCCAGCAGCCGCGGUAAUACGGAGGAUGCGAGCGUUAUUCGGAUUUAUUGGGUUUAAAGGGUGCGUAGGCGGACUGGAAAGUCAGCGGUAAAAUCGAGAGGCUCAACCUCUUUCCGCCGUUGAAACUGUCGGUCUUGAGUGGGCGAGAAGUAUGCGGAAUGCGUGGUGUAGCGGUGAAAUGCGUAGAUAUUAGGAGGAACACCAGUGGCGAAGGCGGCUUACUGGACUGUAACUGACGUUGAGGCUCGAAAGCGUGGGGAGCAAACAGGAUUAGAUACCCGUGUAA
This 466-nucleotide ribosomal RNA is filed under the name uncultured bacterium. RNAcentral describes it as "bacterial SSU rRNA". It matches the Rfam family "Bacterial small subunit ribosomal RNA", at positions 330 to 793 of the family's 1533-position model. The record is from RNAcentral.